UACGUAGGGUGCAAGCGUUGUCCGGAAUUAUUGGGCGUAAAGAGCUCGUAGGCGGUUUGUCGCGUCGAAUGUGAAAACCCGGGGCUCAACCCCGGGCCUGCAUUCGAUACGGGCAGACUAGAGUUCGGUAGGGGAGUCUGGAAUUCCUGGUGUAGCGGUGAAAUGCGCAGAUAUCAGGAGGAACACCGGUGGUGUAGACGGCUUUCUGGACCGUAACUGACGCUGAGGAGCGAAAGCCAGGGGAGCAAACGGG
This 253-nucleotide ribosomal RNA is filed under the name uncultured bacterium. RNAcentral's name for it is "partial 16S ribosomal RNA". It matches the Rfam family "Bacterial small subunit ribosomal RNA", at positions 524 to 776 of the family's 1533-position model. The record is from RNAcentral.